GGGAACUUGACCGCAAGACUUUGGGGGAUGCCCUUCUGUCACUGCCUCUCGCCUCUACGAUCUGUGUAAGAUCUGUUUCUCCUGUGAAGACACCAGGGGCCAUUGUCACAAAACAUGAAAACUACGCUUACAAGGCAGGCCUUCUCAGAUCUGCUUGAUGUCAGCGUGAAUUGUCGCCCAGGCUCCACGGACAUGCAGGUUGUACACAUGUGGCAGUUUUUCUCUCGACGUCCCAUGCUUUGAUCCGCUGACACCAUCUGCCA
Molecule: long non-coding RNA, 263 nt
Filed under: Suricata suricatta (meerkat)
Lineage: Eukaryota; Metazoa; Chordata; Mammalia; Carnivora; Herpestidae
Description: lncRNA (ENSSSUG00005017529.1)
Source: RNAcentral